This is a non-coding RNA of Equus caballus (horse), 984 nucleotides long. The record is from RefSeq and is a predicted model, not a curated record. NCBI's taxonomy places the organism in Eukaryota, Metazoa, Chordata, Mammalia, Perissodactyla, Equidae.
GGGAACAUUCCCUAAGGCUCCUCUCCAUCUGUGUCCUUGGCGAUUUCCCUGCCUUGGUGAAGUAGGUGGGGAACCACUUCCUCCAGGGAUCUCCCCCUGCUCACCGAUGGUAGAAAUGGGCAGGGGAACUGCGUUGCCAUGGCAGCAACUCCACUAGCUCUUCCAUUCGAAGAAAGUCUGGCUCAAGGGAUCUGCCUGGUACUCCCCAUGGCAAAGAGUCAAGCCUGAGGAUGAAGCUAACACAGAAAGGAAGGCAGAGCAGAGACAAGUACCAAGACUAUGCUGGAGUCUUGAUCAAACAACAUAUGAAUUUCACUCUAUUUCUGGACUUUUCAAUGACACCUGCAAUAUUAUAUCCACUUUCAUGGCUGCAACCACCACAUCCAUGGGACGACUCCAAAGCAUCCAUCUCAGUCCUUGACAGACAGUUGCAGAUCUCCAGCUGACUGUCAAACACUCUUAACUGCAGAACUGCUGCCAUAAUGUGUUUAAGCUCUAACUGAGGAUCUGUAACUGACUAGCCAUGUGAACUCGGAACUGUCACGUAUCUUUCAGAACUUCAGCGUUUCAUUCGACAACAAGAAUGGUUUGAAGUUGAAUAUCUACCGUACAAGACUUUAAGGCCUAGGAGGAGCCUUGUCUAUCCAAUUAUUGACGGGACCUCUUUAGCCUAAGGUUCCUGUAGUUGUAAUGUGUGCCGUCCAAUACAGUUUAAAUUUAAAUUUAAUUAAACGUAUAUUCAAUUGAAAAUUCAUGUCAUCUGCUUCACUAGCCACAUUUAAAUGUUCAGUUGCCACUUGUGACGGUGGCUACCAUAAUGGACAAUGCUGAUAUAGAACAUUUUCAUCCCUGCAGAAUGUCUCAUUGGAUAAUGCUGUAGGUUAACCAACCACCACGUAUAAAGCCAAAAUUAUCUUCCUCUCCAUUAGCUCAAACUUUAUACUUCCUACGUCUCAUAGUAGCAUUAACACCAUUGUUAUGGAC